RNAcentral lists this ribosomal RNA (800 nucleotides) under uncultured bacterium. RNAcentral's name for it is "bacterial SSU rRNA". It matches the Rfam family "Bacterial small subunit ribosomal RNA", at positions 1 to 808 of the family's 1533-position model. The record is from RNAcentral.
GAAUUCGGCCUUAGAGUUUGAUCCUGGCUCAGGACGAACGCUGGCGGCGUGCCUAACACAUGCAAGUGGAGCGGAGUAAGGGUCUUCGGAAUUUUACUUAGUGGCGAACGGGUGAGUAACGCGUGAGCAACCUGCCUCUUUGAGGGGGAUAACAACCGGAAACGGUUGCUAAUACCGCAUAAGACCACACUGUCGCAUGGCAGAGAGGUCAAAGGAGCAAUCCGCAGAGAGAGGGGCUCGCGUCCCAUUAGGUAGACGGCGGGGUAAUGGCCCACCGUGCCGACGAUGGGUAGCCGAGCUGAGAGGCUGAUCGGCCACACUGGAACUGAGACACGGUCCAGACUCCUACGGGAGGCAGCAGUGGGGAAUAUUGGGCAAUGGGCGCAAGCCUGACCCAGCAACGCCGCGUGAGGGAAGAAGGUCUUCGGAUUGUAAACCUCUGUCCUUGGUGACGAAGGAAGUGACGGUAGCCAAGGAGGAAGCCCCGGCUAACUACGUGCCAGCAGCCGCGGUAAUACGUAGGGGGCGAGCGUUGUCCGGAAUUACUGGGCGUAAAGGGUGCGUAGGCGGUACUUUAAGUUGGAUGUGAAAUACCCGGGCUUAACUUGGGGGGUGCAUCCAAUACUGGAGAACUAGAGUGCAGGAGAGGGAAGCGGAAUUCCUAGUGUAGCGGUGAAAUGCGUAGAUAUUAGGAGGAACACCAGUGGCGAAGGCGGCUUUCUGGACUGUAACUGACGCUGAGGCACGAAAGCGUGGGGAGCAAACAGGAUUAGAUACCCUGGUAGUCCACGCUGUAAACG